CAGUAGCCGGGGAAUACGGAGGGGGCUAGCGUUGUUCGGAAUUACUGGGCGUAAAGCGCACGUAGGCGGCAUGGUAAGUUAGAGGUGAAAGCCUGGAGCUCAACUCCAGAAUUGCCUUUAAGACUGCCGAGCUAGCAGGUGAGAGAGGUAAGUGGAAUUCCGAGUGUAGAGGUGAAAUUCGUAGAUAUUCGGAAGAACACCAGUGGCGAAGGCGGCUUACUGGCUCAUACUGGACGCUGAGGUGCGAAAGCGUGGGGAGCAAACAGGAUUAGAUACCCCUGUAGUCCCUGUCUCUUAUACC
Molecule: ribosomal RNA, 301 nt
Filed under: uncultured bacterium
Lineage: Bacteria
Description: partial 16S ribosomal RNA
Rfam family: Bacterial small subunit ribosomal RNA
Source: RNAcentral